This 580-nucleotide ribosomal RNA is filed under the name uncultured bacterium. RNAcentral describes it as "bacterial SSU rRNA". It matches the Rfam family "Bacterial small subunit ribosomal RNA", at positions 72 to 649 of the family's 1533-position model. The record is from RNAcentral.
GCGCGGGGCAACCUGGCGGCGAGUGGCGAACGGGUGAGUAAUAUAUCGGAACGUACCCWRGAGUGGGGGAUAACGUAGCGAAAGUUACGCUAAUACCGCAUACGAUCUAWGGAUGAAAGUGGGGGAUCGCAAGACCUCAUGCUCCUGGAGCGGCCGAUAUCUGAUUAGCUAGUUGGUGRGGUAAAGGCYYACCAAGGCRWCGAUCAGUAGCUGGUCUGAGAGGACGACCAGCCACACUGGAACUGAGACACGGUCCAGACUCCUACGGGAGGCAGCAGUGGGGAAUUUUGGACAAUGGGCGCAAGCCUGAUCCAGCAAUGCCGCGUGAGUGAAGAAGGCCUUCGGGUUGUAAAGCUCUUUUGUCAGGGAAGAAACGGUGMGAGCUAAUAUCUCBUGCUAAUGACGGUACCUGAAGAAUAAGCACCGGCUAACUACGUGCCAGCAGCCGCGGUAAUACGUAGGGUGCAAGCGUUAAUCGGAAUUACUGGGCGUAAAGCGUGCGCAGGCGGUUUUGUAAGUCUGAUGUGANAUCCCCGGGCUCAACCUGGGAAUUGCAUUGGAGACUGCAAGGCUAGAAUCU